Small nucleolar RNA from Aplysia californica (California sea hare), 74 nucleotides. RefSeq annotates it as small nucleolar RNA SNORD34. Lineage: Eukaryota; Metazoa; Mollusca; Gastropoda; Aplysiida; Aplysiidae. The transcript has a single exon. The record is from RefSeq and is a predicted model, not a curated record.
UGAUGCUUAUGAUGAAUUGUAUUGUGUCAUCUAAAUUUGAUUAUAAUAUGAUAUUACUAUACACUGAAGCAUCA